This 245-nucleotide ribosomal RNA is filed under the name uncultured bacterium. RNAcentral describes it as "partial 16S ribosomal RNA". It matches the Rfam family "Bacterial small subunit ribosomal RNA", at positions 524 to 766 of the family's 1533-position model. The record is from RNAcentral.
UACGGGGGGGGGCUAGCGUUGUUCGGAAUUACUGGGCGUAAAGGGCUCGUAGGCGGCCUUCUUAGUCGGACGUGAAAUCCCCCGGCUUAACCGGGGAACUGCGUCCGAUACUGGGAGGCUUGAAUCCGGGAGAGGGAUGCGGAAUUCCAGGUGUAGCGGUGAAAUGCGUAGAUAUCUGGAGGAACACCGGUGGCGAAGGCGGCAUCCUGGACCGGUAUUGACGCUGAGGGAGCGAAAGCCAGGGG